GGUAGCGUGGCCGAGCGGUCUAACGCGCUGGUUUUAGGCAAUAGUCAUUUCGAUGGCGUGGGUUCGAAUCCCACCGCUGCCA
Non-coding RNA from Ciona savignyi (Pacific transparent sea squirt), 82 nucleotides. Lineage: Eukaryota; Metazoa; Chordata; Ascidiacea; Phlebobranchia; Cionidae. The record is from Rfam.